AAAAGCUGUGUCUGUUGAAAUGCAUCAUGAACUAACAAUGAACAGUUGUAUUUUUAUUAAUAACAAAGAUGAAUGAAUACAGUACAAAUGUACUGCAUAAUGUGAGUUAGUUGAUGCAUUAAUUGUGAAGUGUGAGCAGAAAUCUCAGUGUCCUCGAAUGUUUUCUGUGAAGCACAGUGACUCUGCAGUGAAACAUGAGCGGGUCGGUUCUGACAGGUGUGUGUGUGUGUGUUUGAGUGUUUGGGCCCCGGAGCGAGAGCCGUCCUUCAUCUCUGAGGGACUGAGAGACGAGAAGAUCACAUCAGAUCACAUCAGACCAGAUCCGAGGUUAUGAGGAGAUUUUUCAGAGUUGACCGAGAUGAGGAUUACGGUCAGAUUCAGUAUCUCACGGCUAAAUGUAUCCGGCUGUCUCAGGAGAAAGCAGUGCUCCAGCGAGAGCUGCUGGUGUCUGGGGAGCGUCAGCAGGUUCUGCAGGCAGAGAUGGAGGGUCUGUCGGUGCGUGUGUGUCAGAAGGAGCAGCUCUAUGUGGAGCUGAGCAUCAAGUAUGAACAACUUCUGGAGCGAUUUCAGAAACAGCAGGAACAGGGCGAUCUUCUGCAGCAGCGUUUGAUCUCUGUGACGGAGGAGCGCUGGAGGGACGCCUCACUGCUGUCUCUUCAGCUGGAGCAGGUGAGCUGUGAUUUACAGCAGCUGCAGGGCUCAGACAAGCAGCUGAUGGGCCUGGUGGACGAGCUGCACCAGGAGGCCCAGCUCAGAGCCCAGCAGACUGAGGUCUUGGAGACGCAGCUCCACGAGGAGACUCAGAAAAUACAAGAUCUGGAGAUGCAGCUGAACAGCAAAUCGCUCGAGCUGAUGGAACUCCAGAUGUCCCAUGAAGCCCUGCGGCAGGAUCUGUGUGAUCAGCGCAGCGCCCACCAGAGGAAGGUGGAGGAACUGCGGCGCGAGAAUUCGGAGAGUCUCGGCAAACUCCGUGAAACGGCCGAACAGUUCGAGUGGCUCUGCGAGCAGCAGCGGAGGUGGAUGAGCUGCGUCAGGAGAUUUAAGGACUGUCUGUCAGGUGAGAAGGAGUCCCUGGAGCUGCAGGUGAACAGGUUACAGAUGGAGUUGGAUACUGUCAGGAAUACUGUGCAUUUCAAUCAUUCCACAGAAUCCUGCAGCAGGUGGGAUGUUGAGGUGAUGUCUGACCUCCAGGCGGAGGUGGACCGAUGGAAAACACUGUAUGAAGACCUGCUCCAACUCACCACGCAGCAGGGUCAGAGGGCAGCAGAUGGACACCUCAAACCCCCGUGAGGACCCAAACACAGAUGACAGCUUCACAUCACACACUGAUUCAAAAGUGAUCCAUGAAAAACCCUUAAACCUGUAGUUCUGUUGACAUCAUUGUUAUUGAAUGUGCAGGGUUUAUGAAAGACGAGAGCUGUUCAGGUCAAGUUCUUCAUUCUGUUCUUCAUUUGUUUUGCUGUCUGUGCUUCAGGGUCACCAGCAUUACAAUAAAUGUUGUGCAAUUCAUUGCA
Molecule: long non-coding RNA, 1514 nt
Organism: Cyprinus carpio (common carp)
Lineage: Eukaryota; Metazoa; Chordata; Actinopteri; Cypriniformes; Cyprinidae
Source: Ensembl